UACAGAGGUCCCAAGCGUUGUUCGGAUUCAUUGGGCGUAAAGGGUGCGUAGGCGGCGCGGUAAGUCGGGUGUGAAAUCCCGGGGCUUAACUCCGAAACUGCAUUCGAUACUGCCGUGCUUGAGGACUGGAGAGGAGACUGGAAUUUACGGUGUAGCGGUGAAAUGCGUAGAUAUCGUAAGGAAGACCAGUGGCGAAGGCGGGUCUCUGGACAGUUCCUGACGCUGAGGCACGAAGGCCAGGGGAGCAAACGGG
RNAcentral lists this ribosomal RNA (253 nucleotides) under uncultured bacterium. RNAcentral describes it as "partial 16S ribosomal RNA". It matches the Rfam family "Bacterial small subunit ribosomal RNA", at positions 524 to 776 of the family's 1533-position model. The record is from RNAcentral.